RNAcentral lists this ribosomal RNA (138 nucleotides) under uncultured eukaryote. RNAcentral's name for it is "partial 18S ribosomal RNA". It matches the Rfam family "Eukaryotic small subunit ribosomal RNA", at positions 1299 to 1458 of the family's 1831-position model. The record is from RNAcentral.
UGGUGGAGCGAUUUGUCUGGUUAAUUCCGAUAACGAACGAGACUCUAGCCUACUAAAUAGUUCGCCCAUGCUCGCAGGUGGGCGUUAACUUCUUAGAGGGACAAGUGGCGCUUCGCCACACGAGAUUGAGCAAUAACA